CCUACGGGUGGCAGCAGUGGGGAAUAUUGCACAAUGGGGUAAACCCUGAUGCAGCAACGCCGCGUGAAGGAAGACGGUUUUCGGAUUGUAAACUUCUUUUCUUAGUGAAGCAUAAUGACGUUAGCUAAGCAGCAAGCCACGGCUAACUACGUGCCAGCAGCCGCGGUAAUACGUAGGGAGCAAGCGUUGUCCGGAAUUACUGGGUGUAAUGGGAGCGCAGGCGGGAAGCCAAGUCAGCUGUGAAAACUACGGGCUUAAAGUGUCGACUGCAGUUGAAACUGGUUUUCUUGAGUGAACGAGAGGUAGGCGGAAUGCGGAGUGUAGCGGUGAAAUGCGUAGAUAUUAGGCAGAACACCGGUGGCGAAGGCGGCAAACUGG
RNAcentral lists this ribosomal RNA (378 nucleotides) under uncultured bacterium. RNAcentral's name for it is "partial 16S ribosomal RNA". It matches the Rfam family "Bacterial small subunit ribosomal RNA", at positions 338 to 732 of the family's 1533-position model. The record is from RNAcentral.